Molecule: long non-coding RNA, 1018 nt
Filed under: Strigops habroptila (Kakapo)
Lineage: Eukaryota; Metazoa; Chordata; Aves; Psittaciformes; Psittacidae
Description: lncRNA (ENSSHBG00005014640.1)
Source: RNAcentral
UCAAGACUUUUAAGCACACCCCACCUCAGAAAAACAAAGAUGUGCACCGUAGUGCUGUACACCUUUCAUCUCUGCUAUUCUAAUUUUGUUUGGCUGACUAAGGACUGCAUGGCGAUAACCCUGUCGAGAAUGCACGGUGUCACCAUCUAAACCAUCCAAGAGCUUCCCUGGGUGUUCUGGAAGAAGCAAGAGCUGGACUCGCUUAACUGCACAACUGUGGGGAUUUAUUUUCAGUCACAUGCGUUGCAACUUGGGUGUGAAAUGGGAAUUCAGUUCACAGGUUCCUGGAAAUGGUGUGGGACCUGCACGCGGCCUUCUGGGUCAAGAAGGAUGCUCAAGGAAUGUCCGAGGCUUUAUCAGUGCACAAUAUUUUCUGCACUGAAUUAGGCUCUCCCAGCUGAAAGAUCAGUGAGUGCUGCUUCAUCUGGGCUUCCAGCGCUUAGGAUAAAGUAGCUUGUGUCUAUCUUAAAGUCUUGAUGUGCAGUCUGGAGCUAGUUAAAGUCGGUUAGCCUCUAGGAAAAAGGCUUUGUUUGCCUUUCAAACAAGAGCUGAUCGAGUUCUGCUAACCCUUUUGAAUUGAUGAUGCCUUUUACAGAGCCCGUCCCUGCCACCACAUCCUGCAGAAGAUGGUGAGUCCUCUGAAGAAUAGAUGUGAUGUGACCUCGACCUUACUGAUAAACUGCAUCUCUUAUGCUCAAGCUGGGUUUUGUACGUUUAUAUAGUGUUUUUACAGUUUAUGGCUUGUGUUCAGCUGUUGCACAGAACUAAAAGCGUAAGUUUGAGAGGCUGCGAGAACAUUGCAGUGAAAUUAAUAUAUACUUUUUGAAGCUCAACGCUCAGUAUAAGUCACUGUUUUAGUUUUUAUCUUGGUUUCCUUGAGUUCCUCAGAGACUCCUGCACAUCGUGUAGCUUUUAUCUCUUGAUUGCCUUGUGCUUGUCAGGGACUUGCAUGUUUGUGCUUGUUCUGGUUUUAGGAAGUAGAUACUUGGUUUUCUAAUACACUGAAGCAUUCUAAAAA